RNAcentral lists this transfer RNA (74 nucleotides) under Cryptomonas gyropyrenoidosa. RNAcentral's name for it is "tRNA-Arg". It matches the Rfam family "tRNA". Rfam says of the family: Transfer RNA (tRNA) molecules are approximately 80 nucleotides in length. The record is from RNAcentral. Lineage: Eukaryota; Cryptophyceae; Cryptomonadales; Cryptomonadaceae.
AUGUCUAUAGCUUAAUAGGAUAAAGUAUUAAAUUGCGAAUUUGACGAUUGAAAGUUCAAAUCUUUCUAGACAUA